Molecule: ribosomal RNA, 253 nt
Filed under: uncultured bacterium
Lineage: Bacteria
Description: partial 16S ribosomal RNA
Rfam family: Bacterial small subunit ribosomal RNA
Source: RNAcentral
UACGUAGGGCGCAAGCGUUGUCCGGAAUUAUUGGGCGUAAAGAGCUCGUAGGCGGCUUGUCACGUCGGGUGUGAAAGCCCGGGGCUUAACCCCGGGUCUGCAUUCGAUACGGGCUAGCUAGAGUGUGGUAGGGGAGAUCGGAAUUCCUGGUGUAGCGGUGAAAUGCGCAGAUAUCAGGAGGAACACCGGUGGCGAAGGCGGAUCUCUGGGCCAUUACUGACGCUGAGGCGCGACAGCGUGGGGAGCAAACAGG